GACGAACGCUGGCGGCGUGCUUAACACAUGCAAGUCGAACGGAAAGACCCUGCUUUUGUGGGGUGCUCGAGUGGCGAACGGGUGAGUAACACGUGAGUAACCUGCCCUUGACUUUGGGAUAACUUCAGGAAACUGGGGCUAAUACCGGAUAGGAGCUCCUGCUGCAUGGUGGGGGUUGGAAAGUUUCGGCGGUUGGGGAUGGACUCGCGGCUUAUCAGCUUGUUGGUGGGGUAGUGGCUUACCAAGGCUUUGACGGGUAGCCGGCCUGAGAGGGUGACCGGCCACAUUGGGACUGAGAUACGGCCCAGACUCCUACAGGAGGCAGCAGUGGGGAAUAUUGCACAAUGGGCGGAAGCCUGAUGCAGCAACGCCGCGUGCGGGAUGACGGCCUUCGGGUUGUAAACCGCUUUCGCCUGUGACGAAGCGUGAGUGACGGUAAUGGGUAAAGAAGCACCGGCUAACUACGUG
This 468-nucleotide ribosomal RNA is filed under the name uncultured bacterium. Its description in RNAcentral is "partial 16S ribosomal RNA". It matches the Rfam family "Bacterial small subunit ribosomal RNA", at positions 28 to 507 of the family's 1533-position model. The record is from RNAcentral.